RNAcentral lists this long non-coding RNA (620 nucleotides) under Mustela putorius furo (domestic ferret). RNAcentral's name for it is "lncRNA (ENSMPUG00000029432.1)". Lineage: Eukaryota; Metazoa; Chordata; Mammalia; Carnivora; Mustelidae. The record is from RNAcentral.
GGAACACUGAAAAAAAAAAUAAAAUAAAAUAAACAAAACAAAACAAAAAACAAGCCUGUAAGAUUAUCAGCAGGGAAGUGGAUGUUGGUGCUUCUAGGAAAAGAUUCUGACUUAGAAUCUUAGAAUCUAAGAAGGUUCCAGACUUAGAGAGAGUUGGGUUCUCAGAACCUAGGAGGGCAGAGUGGUGGUGGGUUCUGUGGUUGAUGGUCAUCCUCAUGCAGGUUGGGACAAACACCUGUUCACAGAAGGGACUGAGUGAAGAUAGCUGGGCUCUGAGCAUUAAACAUCAUGGCCUUGGGGACUGCAGUGAAAGAGAAAAACAGAUACAGAGAUUAUCUAGAGGAAUUAGCAUGGUGAAAUAUCCAGGAUGAUUGUGAGAAAAGAAACAGUAUUAGAGGAGGAGCCUUUCAAGACUGCUGGAGUACUAACAGAUUCCUUAUGGAUGAACAAUAAGGAAUGGAACAAGGGUUUAAAUGGAAUGAUAUAUCUUAUUCCUGUAUAUGAAGAACAUUAAUUCAAAUAGGAGUGCAUAUUAAAUAACUACAUGUCAAUUUCUUGGCUUUGUUCAAUUCCAUAGAUCUUCUCCUCAUUACACUUUAAUAAACUGGAUUGCUCUUUUU